RNAcentral lists this ribosomal RNA (262 nucleotides) under uncultured Verrucomicrobiota bacterium. RNAcentral's name for it is "uncultured Verrucomicrobia bacterium partial 16S ribosomal RNA". It matches the Rfam family "Bacterial small subunit ribosomal RNA", at positions 928 to 1198 of the family's 1533-position model. Lineage: Bacteria; Pseudomonadati; Verrucomicrobiota. The record is from RNAcentral.
AGCGGUGGAGUAUGUGGCUCAAUUCGAUGCAACGCGAAGACCUACCUGGCCUUGACAUGCACUAGACAGACGCUGAAAGGCGUUCUCCCUUCGGGGCUGUGCACAGUGCUGCAUGGCUGUCGUCAGCUCGUGUCGUGAGAUGUUGCGUUAAGUCGCGCAACGAGCGCAACCCCUGUCCUUAGUGCCAUCAUUAAGUUGGGCACUCUAGGAGACAAACCCUCUUUGAGGGUGGGAAGGUGGGGAUGACGUCAAGUCAGGAUGG